AUGCCUUUCGGCCUUUUGGCUAAGAUCAAGUGUAGUAUCUGUUCUUAUCAGUUCAAAUUAUUUUCAAUGCAUGUUUGUGAUUCCAUCUUUU
RNAcentral lists this small nuclear RNA (91 nucleotides) under Marmota monax (woodchuck). RNAcentral describes it as "U2 spliceosomal RNA". It matches the Rfam family "U2 spliceosomal RNA". Rfam says of the family: U2 is a small nuclear RNA (snRNA) component of the spliceosome (involved in pre-mRNA splicing). Complementary binding between U2 snRNA (in an area lying towards the 5' end but 3' to hairpin I) and the branchpoint sequence (BPS) of the intron results the bulging out of an unpaired adenosine, on the BPS, which initiates a nucleophilic attack at the intronic 5' splice site, thus starting the first of two transesterification reactions that mediate splicing. Lineage: Eukaryota; Metazoa; Chordata; Mammalia; Rodentia; Sciuridae. The record is from Rfam by way of RNAcentral.